RNAcentral lists this unclassified non-coding RNA (378 nucleotides) under soil metagenome. RNAcentral's name for it is "partial contains 5.8S ribosomal RNA, internal transcribed spacer 2, and large subunit ribosomal RNA". The stretch from base 1 to 120 matches the Rfam family "5.8S ribosomal RNA", at positions 35 to 154 of the family's 154-position model. The record is from RNAcentral.
GAUGAAGAACGUAGUGAAGUGCGAUAAGUAAUGUGAAUUGCAGAAUUCCGUGAAUCAUCGAAUCUUUGAACGCAAAUUGCACUUUCUGGUAUUCCGGAGAGUAUGCCUGUUUGAGGGUCAGUGUAAUAAAUAAAUCGUGGUUGUUACCACCUUUCGUGGUGACGCUUCGGAAUUGAGUCCUCUUACCCUUCGGGUUAAGUGACUUAAAAUUUUUUCAUACGAUUUCGAAACGUAUUUAAUGUAUUAUGUACGUUCACGAAUAUCGAAUGUUUAUUAGGUGCGGUCAUUUUUCAUGAAUUCGCGUCUAUAAUUUUUUUUUUUUGACCUCAAAUCAGGUAAGAAUACCCGCUGAACUUAAGCAUAUCAAUAAGCGGAGGA